RNAcentral lists this ribosomal RNA (520 nucleotides) under uncultured cyanobacterium. RNAcentral's name for it is "bacterial SSU rRNA". It matches the Rfam family "Bacterial small subunit ribosomal RNA", at positions 355 to 888 of the family's 1533-position model. Lineage: Bacteria; Bacillati; Cyanobacteriota. The record is from RNAcentral.
UGGGGAAUUUUCCGCAAUGGGCGAAAGCCUGACGGAGCAAGACCGCGUGAGGGAGGAAGGCCUACUGGUUGUAAACCUCUUUUGAUAGGGAAGAACACAAUGACGGUACCUAUCGAAUCAGCCUCGGCUAACUCCGUGCCAGCAGCCGCGGUAAUACGGAGGAGGCAAGCGUUAUCCGGAAUUAUUGGGCGUAAAGCGUCCGUAGGUGGUUUGUCAAGUCAGUUGUUAAAGCGUGGAGCUUAACUCCAUAACGGCAAUUGAAACUGACAGGCUAGAGUGCGAUAGGGGCAAGGGGAAUUCCCAGUGUAGCGGUGAAAUGCGUAGAUAUUGGGAAGAACAUCGGUGGCGAAAGCGCCUUGCUGGGUCUGCACUGACACUGAGGGACGAAAGCUAGGGGAGCGAAAGGGAUUAGAUACCCCUGUAGUCCUAGCCGUAAACGAUGGAUACUAGGCGUUGACCGUAUCGACCCGGUCAGUGCCGUAGCUAACGCGUUAAGUAUCCCGCCUGGGGAGUACGCUCG